This 47-nucleotide non-coding RNA is filed under the name Schistosoma curassoni. Lineage: Eukaryota; Metazoa; Platyhelminthes; Trematoda; Strigeidida; Schistosomatidae. The record is from RNAcentral.
ACUGCUGAGGAGUCCCACAAUAGGACGAAAUGCGCGUCAAACUGAAU